Molecule: ribosomal RNA, 160 nt
Filed under: uncultured Glomus
Lineage: Eukaryota; Fungi; Glomeromycota; Glomeromycetes; Glomerales; Glomeraceae
Description: 5.8S ribosomal RNA
Rfam family: 5.8S ribosomal RNA
About the family: 5.8S ribosomal RNA (5.8S rRNA) is a component of the large subunit of the eukaryotic ribosome. It is transcribed by RNA polymerase I as part of the 45S precursor that also contains 18S and 28S rRNA.
Source: RNAcentral
CACUUUCAACAACGGAUCUCUUGGCUCUCGCAUCGAUGAAGAACGUAGCUAAGUGCGAUAAGUAAUGUGAAUUGCAGAAUUCCGUGAAUCAUCAAAUUUUUGAACGCAAAUUGCACUUCCUGGCAUCCCGGGGAGUAUGCCUGUUUGAGGGUCAUUAUAA